GACGAACGCUGGCGGCGUGCCUAAUACAUGCAAGUAGAACGCAGUUGCGAACGGGUGAGUAAAGCGUAGGUAACUGCCUGGUAGCGGGGGAUAACUAUUGGAAACGAUAGCUAAUACCGCAUACUACUAGAUGGACCUGCGUUGUAUUAGCUAGUUGGUGGGGUAACGGCUCACCAAGGCAACGAUACAUAGCCGACCUGAGAGGGUGGACGGCCAACACGGGACUGAGAAACGGCCCAAGCUCCUACGGGAGGCAGCAGUAGGGGAACUUCGGAAAUGGGCGGAAGUCUGACCGAGCAACGGCGCGUGAGUGAAGAAGGUUUUCGGGGCGUAAAGCUCUGUUGUACGGGAAGCGGUAUCUUACGAAAAAGGGCCGGCUAACUACGUGCCAGCAGCCGCGGUAAUAC
RNAcentral lists this ribosomal RNA (407 nucleotides) under uncultured bacterium. RNAcentral describes it as "partial 16S ribosomal RNA". It matches the Rfam family "Bacterial small subunit ribosomal RNA", at positions 28 to 526 of the family's 1533-position model. The record is from RNAcentral.